Molecule: non-coding RNA, 46 nt
Filed under: Trichobilharzia regenti
Lineage: Eukaryota; Metazoa; Platyhelminthes; Trematoda; Strigeidida; Schistosomatidae
Source: RNAcentral
AUCCAGAUGAUGAGCCCCAAAGUAGGACGAAAUGUGCAUCCUGGAU